AACGAACGCUGGCGGCAUGCCUAACACAUGCAAGUCGAACGAGACCUUCGGGUCUAGUUGCGCACGGGUGCGUAACGCGUGGGAACCUGCCCUUAGGUUCGGAAUAACUCCCCGAAAGGGGUGCUAAUACCGGAUAAUGUCUUCGGACCAAAGAUUUAUCGCCUUUGGAUGUGCCCGCGUUGGAUUAGCUAGUUGGUAGGGUAAAAGCCUACCAAGGCGACGAUCCAUAGCUGGUCUGAGAGGAUGAUCAGCCACACUGGGACUGAGACACGGCCCAGACUCCUACGGGAGGCAGCAGUGGGGAAUAUUGGACAAUGGGCGAAAGCAUGAUCCAGCAAUGCCGCGUGAGUGAUGAAGGCCUUAGGGUUGUAAAGCUCUUUUACCCGGGAUGAUAAUGACAGUACCGGGAGAAUAAGCCCCGGCUAACUCCGUG
RNAcentral lists this ribosomal RNA (433 nucleotides) under uncultured bacterium. Its description in RNAcentral is "partial 16S ribosomal RNA". It matches the Rfam family "Bacterial small subunit ribosomal RNA", at positions 29 to 507 of the family's 1533-position model. The record is from RNAcentral.